UGGGGAAUAUUGCACAAUGGAGGGAACUCUGAUGCAGCGACGCCGCGUGAACGAAGAAGGCUUUCGAGUCGUAAAGUUCUUUUAUAUGGGAAGAUAAUGACGGUACCAUAAGAAAAAGCACCGGCUAACUACGUGCCAGCAGCCGCGGUAAUACGUAGGGGGCUAGCGUUGUCCGGAAUCACUGGGCGUAAAGGGUUCGCAGGCGGAAAUGCAAGUCAGGUGUAAAAGGCAGUAGCUUAACUACUGUAAGCAUUUGAAACUGCAUAUCUUGAGAAGAGUAGAGGUAAGUGGAAUUUUUAGUGUAACGGUGAAAUGCGUAGAUAUUAAAAAGAAUACCGGUGGCGAAGGCGACUUACUGGGCUCAUUCUGACGCUGAGGAACGAAAGCGUGGGUAGCAAACAGG
This 403-nucleotide ribosomal RNA is filed under the name Fusobacteriota bacterium. RNAcentral describes it as "Fusobacteria bacterium partial 16S ribosomal RNA". It matches the Rfam family "Bacterial small subunit ribosomal RNA", at positions 355 to 776 of the family's 1533-position model. Lineage: Bacteria; Fusobacteriati; Fusobacteriota. The record is from RNAcentral.